RNAcentral lists this transfer RNA (74 nucleotides) under Candidatus Dojkabacteria bacterium. RNAcentral describes it as "tRNA-Arg". It matches the Rfam family "tRNA". Rfam says of the family: Transfer RNA (tRNA) molecules are approximately 80 nucleotides in length. Their secondary structure includes four short double-helical elements and three loops (D, anti-codon, and T loops). The record is from RNAcentral.
GCACCUGUAGCUCAACUGGAUAGAGCACUUCUUUGCGGAAGAAGAGGUUAGAGGUUCAAGUCCUCUCUGGUGCA